RNAcentral lists this non-coding RNA (1033 nucleotides) under Trichomonas vaginalis G3. RNAcentral describes it as "Eukaryotic large subunit ribosomal RNA". It matches the Rfam family "Eukaryotic large subunit ribosomal RNA", at positions 818 to 1908 of the family's 3401-position model. Lineage: Eukaryota; Parabasalia; Trichomonadida; Trichomonadidae. The record is from Rfam by way of RNAcentral.
GAAAAGGUGGUGAACUUUGCCUGCACAGGUUGAAGUCAGGGGAAACUUUGAUGGAGGACCGUACGGGUUAUUGAUGUGCAAAUCAUUUUUCUGAUGUAGGUAAAGGUGCGAAAGACUCAUCGAACCACCUAAUAGCUGUUUUCCUCCGAAGUUUCCCUCAGGAUAGCUGUAAUGCAUUUAGUUAAGGGGAGUAGAGAUAUGGGUAGAGGUGCAGGGAGCCUUCGGGUUCUCAACUUAUUUCCAAACUUCGAACCUCCUUGUUAGGCAUUUACCUAACUGGAAAUGCUUAAAUGAAUUAGCGUUACAAGUGGGCUCUGACCGGUAAGCGGUCAUGGCGAAAUGGGAUGAACCAUACGUCUGAAUAAGGUGCCGAAAUGUACUAUCACUGAUACCAUAAAGGGAGUCCAUGUAUUUAGACAGCAGGUCGGUGCCCCUAAAAGCAGGUAUCCGCUAAAGAGUGUGUUAAAACUCACCUGCCGAAUACUAGGGCCCCGAAAAUGAAUGGCGCAUAUAGUACUACCGAUCUCAGACAUCAGUUCUAUUGAACUGAGAGUAGGGGGAUGUGGACAUUUUUGUGAAGGUGCAAUGUGAGUUGGACUGGAAGAAUGUCUAUUACAGAUCCUAAUUGAAGUAGCGAUUAUCCAGGCUUGUAUCCUGGGGGCUGAUGAGGAGUAGGGUUUCUGGACAACUUAAACAGAUCCAGAGUUAGUCGAUCCUAAUCUCAAUAAUGGGAGAAAGGGAGUACAGUUGAUAUUCUGUAACUGACAACAGUUCGCGGCAACGCAUACUAUUUUUCUCCGCCAAUCUUAUACCGUUGGUAGGGAUCUCUUUCCUACAUGACAGUACUAAUACCCAGGGAAACUGGUCAUCAGGCGAACUGCGGCGUUCUGCUGGCAAAACAUAGCUUCGGUUAUGUCAAUGGCUAUUGGAUUGGUCCAUGAAGCGAAAAAUAGUUUACUGUGUCACUCGUACCGAUAACCGCAUCAGGUCUUCUAGGUAAGUAGCCUAUGGCCAUUGAGGCAUGAUAUUCAGG